UUUCCUCCAUUAAUGCCAUCGCCUACACCUCCUAUUUUACAAUCUCUUUCUUUUUCUUUUUGCAUCAAGAUUGUGCACCAUCUUCUUUAUUAUAUUGCUUCCAUUUAUAUUCAUCUAAAUUAGCCCUAAAUCUAAAAUCUUGAAUCCCAAGAUCGAUCCCGAACAUUGCCAAGAAAGUUUUAUUGUUGUUUCUUUCAACUAGCUUGGGUAAGAUCUCUUUUCUCUUCAAUUUCUUCAUUGAUCUUGUCAAUUAAAAACCAAAAUUUCCAAAUAUGGAAUUUUUGGGAUUUUAAAUGAUUUCAAAGUUAUUUUUCCAGGUUUUAAUGAGAUCUCAAACUAUUUUAAAAUUCAACCCCAAUUUUGGCCACUGCGGGUGGUGAUGCGUGCACCUAUGUGCAAGAAAGGGGGUUAUUUUGCUUCUUGGG
This 425-nucleotide long non-coding RNA is filed under the name Gossypium barbadense (sea-island cotton). Its description in RNAcentral is "long non-coding RNA (GBAR_LNC018713)". Lineage: Eukaryota; Viridiplantae; Streptophyta; Magnoliopsida; Malvales; Malvaceae. The record is from RNAcentral.